CAGACGAAGCCGGUGUGGUGCCCUCAAUAGGGACUGUAGGGAAACAGCGCUCGCUGUCUCUUUCAGGUUGAGCCUCGCCUCGCGCCCCCUUGGGCACGUGACGUCGCCGGCGGCCAGGUGAGAAGAGGAGCAGGAGGAGGAGGAAUGAAGGGAGGAGGCCGCGCGCAUGCGUGCACGCGCGUGCGCGAGGCAAUUGGAACACUCUCUCCUCAAUGGUAUGGACAGAAAUGCCCAGGAUGGAGGAGAGAGUGGCCAUGAGGGUGACAGCAAAGCAGAAGCAUGACAAAGUGGCAGGUCCUGAUUCGUGCAGAAUCUGCCCAAAAGAAGUCAUCUGAUCUGCAGAGCCCAUGGCUUGAACAUCAGAAAACAGUUUAAAGGUGUCACACUAUCCUGUCCCUUUCUGUUGCCAAUCUCAUCUCCCCUGGCAUUCAAGUUAUUGAUAACAUGCCAUCUUGUCUUAGAAAUGAAUGUAUAAGAUGUUGCAGAAAUGAUUUGGAUUUAAAAUUGUAGGAUUCCCCUGUUGCCACCUCCCACAAAUAGCUUGGAAAGAGAGCUGUACAGAGUGAAUCCUCUUAGGACUGAACACCUCAGCUUGCAUACAAGGGUUGUGCAUCAGCACCAAUUGGCAUUGAGACUGGACAACAACAGAAGAUCUGGAGCACCUCCUACAUAUACAAAACCAAAUCCAGAACCAAGACAACUGACCAGGCAUUCAAAUUACAGUAUGUGAAAACUGUAUUUUGCAAGAUGGCUAGUUACCAAAUACACUAUUAUUUAGAUCUAUAGCACAACAUUAUUUCAAAAGCCAAAAUGGGAUUGUGAAAAUAUUAAUAUGUCCUGACUAUGGUUCAAAUAAUCAAUAAAUAAAAACAGUUUCAAUAA
Molecule: long non-coding RNA, 882 nt
Organism: Sceloporus undulatus (fence lizard)
Lineage: Eukaryota; Metazoa; Chordata; Lepidosauria; Squamata; Phrynosomatidae
Exons: 3
Source: RefSeq, a predicted model, not a curated record